Molecule: long non-coding RNA, 474 nt
Filed under: Vigna radiata
Lineage: Eukaryota; Viridiplantae; Streptophyta; Magnoliopsida; Fabales; Fabaceae
Description: long non-coding RNA (VRAD_LNC000666)
Source: RNAcentral
GCAAGUUAAAAGAAGAGAUGAAUUGGAGGAAAAAUGAAAAGGAGCCAAACUAUUAGAUCAUUCCAGAUCUAGGACCAAAAUCUAGAUCAGCCUCAAAGAAGAAUUCACAUUCAAAGCAAACCAUUCAAAGUGAUUUACUUCUUUCAUACUCAUCCUAGGUAUGCUCUGAUCCCUCUGAUCCAAUUCAUAUGUUGAGAAGAGAGAAACAAAAAUAUGGUUUCCGACUAGAAAAAACAAAUACCAUUAGAACCAAGUUCAAAGGAUUAUCACCACCAUUAGGCACAAAUAUGAACCUCUUGAGAUGAGCAAGCAGUCACCGAGUUCAGCAAUGAGUUGAGAGCGAGUUGAACGGUGAAGAAUAAAGAACCCGUGAAGAGAGAAUGUCUUCAUCGGACAUCGCAGCAGAGAUGUUGCUCUCUUAACAGCUUCAGCUUUCUUGCUUCCUCUUUUCAAGAAUUGUUAUCCUACAAAACU